RNAcentral lists this non-coding RNA (28 nucleotides) under Mus musculus (house mouse). The record is from RNAcentral. Lineage: Eukaryota; Metazoa; Chordata; Mammalia; Rodentia; Muridae.
ACCAACGCGAUGAGUUCCCCGUACGGGC